RNAcentral lists this non-coding RNA (29 nucleotides) under Bombyx mori (domestic silkworm). Lineage: Eukaryota; Metazoa; Arthropoda; Insecta; Lepidoptera; Bombycidae. The record is from RNAcentral.
UCGUUUCGAAAGUACUGCUGUUGAAGCGC